GUAGCUCCCUGCGCAGGGCCGGUGGGCAGUGGAGGUGCUGAUCGCGCAGAAUCUGGUCCAAUAAAAGACCACCUUGUGGUCACCCACCUUGUGUGUCAGAAAUUAACAGCAUACAACCUGUCAGAGGUAUCCAAUUCUCCGAGAGCAAGUUUCCUUUUCAGAUACUGCUACAACACAGCGUCAGAACAAAAAGAGCACAAAGAAAAGUACUUAAUGUAGGCUCAAAACCUACAUACAAAGGAAAAAAAGUGAAGGACAUUAUUCUCUUGGAACUAAAGGAGAUAAAGAGGAAGACUCCAUUGUGGAGAACUUGAAGCAGGAGUGAAAGAGGAAAGGAGACUGGAGGAGAAGGAGGAUUACUUCAGACUGCUAUCAAGAGCAGCAAAGAAUACAUAUAGACUUCACCGCAGGAUAGAACAAAAAUAAGAGAGUGAAGGAAAGCAUUGAACAUGAAAAGGAAAUGAGACAGUUGAAAAUGAAGCAACACUGGACAGCCAUCUGUCAGAUGAUUAAAAAUGUUUGGAGAAUACAUGUUAGCCAGUACACUGGAAACAAAGUGUCAGUGCAGCCAGGCAUUGCCUACCACCAACACAUUAAGCCAAGCCACACCACAUGACAGAUAUGGCAUUAUUCUCAACAAACUUUAUGGAGUUAAGAUAAAGUAUCUUAGGAGGUCAUUAUAGUAACAAAUACAAAUGUGUAUGUAUUAUCAAGGGGUGGUAUAUAACUUUUAAGGGGGAUGCAAGACUAAUCUAAACAUUGGGAAAUGUUAUCCGCUUCAAACAACUUUUACAACAGUGGAAAAGAUAAGCUUGAACUUUUAGUUGAGUGGUAUUCUUAGGAAAUACUUGGGAAGAGAGAGAAUGUAAAUUACUCACUUCUAGAACUAUGCUUUUGAAGCUGCAGUUUGAAGAAAAACUUAUUAUCUGCCUGAUUACCUAUUCACAGUCUUUUCAAAGGCCCAAAUUGGGUAAUAGAAGGACUCACAGGGGAGGUAGUUCUAAUGUGGAUAGGAGAUAGCAGCUGGUGACCUCAGGAAAAAAACCUGUGUGGGGUUUGAAGAACUAAUCACCAGCCAGACCCAUUGUAGGAAUGAGAGUAAUCUCUGGUAAGCUUAUUAGCAUGUA
Non-coding RNA from Pelodiscus sinensis (Chinese soft-shelled turtle), 1127 nucleotides. NCBI's taxonomy places the organism in Eukaryota, Metazoa, Chordata, Testudines, Trionychidae. The record is from RefSeq and is a predicted model, not a curated record.